CGGGGUGCACCAGGCGCGAAAACUUUACAAUGCACGAAAGUGUGAUAAGGGAAUCCAAAGUGCUCAUGUUUAACAUGGGCUUUUGCCAAGGGUAAAUACCUUGGAGAAUAAGUGGUGGGUAAGACUGGUGCCAGCAGCCGCGGUAACCCCAGCGCCACAAGUGGGAGCCACAAUUAUUUGGCCUAAAGCGUCCGUAGCUGGUUAUGUAAAUCUUUUGUGAAAUCGGAAGGCUCAACUUUCCGGCGUGCAGAAGACACUGCAUAACUUGAGAUUGGGAGGGGUAAGGAGUAUUCCUAGGGAACCGGUAAAAUGGGAUAAUCCUAGGAGGACUACCUGUGGCGAAGGCGCCUUACCAGAACAAGUCUGACAGUGAGGGACGAAGGCUAGGGGAGCGAACCGGAUUAGAUACCCGAGUAGUCCUAGCAGUAAACUCUGCGGGCUAGGUGUUACACCAUCUAUGUGAUUGUGUAGUGUCGUAGCGAAGGCAUUAAGCCCGCCGCCUGGGAAGUAUGGUCGCAAGACUGAAACUUAAAGGAAUUGGCGGGGGAGCAC
Molecule: ribosomal RNA, 552 nt
Filed under: uncultured archaeon
Lineage: Archaea
Description: bacterial SSU rRNA
Rfam family: Archaeal small subunit ribosomal RNA
Source: RNAcentral